Choloepus didactylus (southern two-toed sloth) is the source of this 1511-nucleotide long non-coding RNA. RefSeq lists it as uncharacterized. The record is from RefSeq and is a predicted model, not a curated record. Lineage: Eukaryota; Metazoa; Chordata; Mammalia; Pilosa; Megalonychidae. The transcript has 5 exons.
GAACACCUUCUGAUUUUCAAAUAUCUCUUAAAUUGUUCUAGGGCUAAACCUUGGCCUAAGGAGAAGUGAAUGUCAACAAAACCACAACAGAGAUGUUCUGAGUGUCUGUGUGUAUUUAAUCAUACUGAUUAGCGCUGGGCCUUCUGUGCAGUACUACAGAUGAUUGUUCUAGCUGAGAAGUCUGGUAAUGCCUUUGCCAAUACAUGUGAAGAAAUAGCAUUCACAGUAUCAAGAAAGAGCCUUGUAGUGGAAUAUGAUUCAAGCCACCUGAAUUUGUAAUGUGAAGCAUAGAAUGGACCCUUGCUGCUGUGUAGAGAACUGAACUCCAAUGCGAAGGACAAGAGCACAUAGAUUUUGAUAAUGCACGGCUAAUUCCAGGCUGACUUCCAAAUUCAUGGCAAGGACUCCUGAGUGAUGGCUUCCAAGGUACUGAUUGGCUAGGAGAGGUUAUGACUCCUUUACCAACUGCAGUGUGGAGACUAGUGUUCCGCUGUUGGAGCCAACUUAACAGAAAUGACUAAGACUGGAUCUCUGCCCAAGGAAGGAAUGGUACACUGAGAGUGAAGGAUGAACAAAAAUUUACAAUACAAAAGAAAUGUUAAUAAAAUACUCUCAGAUUGCAAAAGGAGAAGACAAUUCUUUCUGGAUUGCAGAUUGUGGAAGUCAGGAAAGACUCAAGAGGAUAAAAUAUUUGGAUAAAUCCUAAAAAUGAUGAAGACAUAGUAGAUGGAGCCUUAAUAAGGCUAAGGCAUGAGGUGGUGUUGGGAGUGGCAUCCAGAAGAAGGAUGAUGCUGGCAUUGGAUUUAUGGAGAUAUUCAAAUCAAGGGCUUCAGAACUGUGGCACUGAGGAGAAAAUGAUUUGUAGAAGGUAAAAACAAAAACAGAACAAAACAAGAUGACUCUGCAUGUGCUACAAAAUUGAGGAUUUGUCACUAAAGUGCAGCACAGACUGAGAGAUGCUAUAUGUCUAGAUGCCCCAGCCUGACACUACUUCCUCCUAGGAUCUUACAUCUACGUUUCUGACUGUCACAGCAUUUUAUUUCACUUGAUGCUUUCCCCCACCAGUAUCCUCGUGAGCACGUAAGGGCAUAUUUAACACAGAGGAAAUUGAGGCCGAGAGAUUUAUUCUCAGUGCAAAGCACUAAGAAAAACUGGAGAGUUGCAGCAAAUAUUUGCUAGAGAAGUCUUGGCUCCAUGGUAUACUGCAUCAUUAGUAAGUAAAUGCACUUCUUUUGGAUGUGGAAAAACAAGAAGACUUGUUAGAAAACAUGUAAUUUCACAAAUGAGUCAGGAAUGCGCCUUUGCUCAAAAUGACACCUGGAAUUAACUGCGGCUCUCUUAAGAGAUCAAUGAACAAAUGUCGAGGGUUUGGGAUUUGUGGCAGAGUCAACCAGGCAGAAGACUUUGAUGUUGGCAAAAAGUAAUGCCUCCAAGACAGAUCUUUUAAUUGCCUAAACAUUAGGAGCAAGCUGUCUCCUUGUUGAUAAAAGCUGUUAUUUGGUGUCUGGAUA